UCAUUUUUGUGAUCUGCAGCU
RNAcentral lists this microRNA (21 nucleotides) under Macaca mulatta (Rhesus monkey). RNAcentral's name for it is "mml-miR-153-1-5p". Its record names the gene mml-miR-153-1-5p. Lineage: Eukaryota; Metazoa; Chordata; Mammalia; Primates; Cercopithecidae. RNAcentral also lists the same sequence under 2 other names. The record is from miRBase by way of RNAcentral.